AGAUUGGAGAAGAAUAUGGUCCAUGGGUUCCGUUUAUUGGAACUCUGUUUCUAUUUAUUUUUGUUUCGAAUUGGUCAGGGGCCCUUUUGCCUUGGAAAAUUAUAAAGUUACCUCAUGGGGAGUUAGCUGCACCCACAAAUGAUAUAAAUACUACUGUUGCAUUAGCUUUACUUACGUCAGUAGCCUAUUUCUAUGCGGGUAUUUCAAAAAAAGGAUUGGCCUAUUUUGGUAAAUACAUCCAACCAACAUUGGAAAAUUAUAAAGUUACCUCAUGGAGAGUUAGCUGCACCCACAAAUGAUAUAAAUACUACUGUUGCAUUAGCUUUACUUACGUCAGUAGCCUAUUUCUAUGCGGGUAUUUCAAAAAAAGGAUUGACCUAUUUUGGUAAAUACAUCCAACCAACGCCAAUCCUUUUACCGAUUAACAUCUUAGAAGAUUUCACAAAACCCUUAUCACUUAGUUUUCGACUUUUCGGAAAUAUAUUAGCGGAUGAAUUAGUAGUUGCUGUUCUUGUUUCGUUAGUAC
Molecule: long non-coding RNA, 526 nt
Filed under: Lathyrus oleraceus (garden pea)
Lineage: Eukaryota; Viridiplantae; Streptophyta; Magnoliopsida; Fabales; Fabaceae
Description: Pisum sativum (pea) long non-coding RNA (PSAT_LNC019324)
Source: RNAcentral